AUCCGGCUGACGAGUCCUAAAUAGGACGAAACGCGCGUCCUGGAA
This 45-nucleotide non-coding RNA is filed under the name Schistosoma mattheei. The record is from RNAcentral. Lineage: Eukaryota; Metazoa; Platyhelminthes; Trematoda; Strigeidida; Schistosomatidae.